CCUACGGGAGGCAGCAGUGGGGGAUAUUGCACAAUGGGGGAAACCCUGAUGCAGCGACGCCGCGUGUGGGAAGACGGUCCUCUGGAUUGUAAACCACUGUCCCCAGGGACGAAGAUGACGGUACCUGGGGAGGAAGCUCCGGCUAACUACGUGCCAGCAGCCGCGGUAAUACGUAGGGAGCGAGCGUUGUCCGGAAUUACUGGGUGUAAAGGGAGCGUAGGCGGGACUGCAAGUUGGGUGUCAAAUCUACCGGCGCAACCGGUAGCCGCACUCAAAACUGCAGUUCUUGAGUGAAGUAGAGGCAGGCGGAAUUCCUAGUGUAGCGGUGAAAUGCGGAGAUAUUAGGAGGAACACCAGUGGCGAAGGCGGCCUGCUGGGCUUUGACUGACGCUGAGGCUCGAAAGUGUGGGGAGCAAACAGGAUUAGAUACCCCUGUAGUC
RNAcentral lists this ribosomal RNA (440 nucleotides) under uncultured bacterium. RNAcentral's name for it is "partial 16S ribosomal RNA". It matches the Rfam family "Bacterial small subunit ribosomal RNA", at positions 338 to 795 of the family's 1533-position model. The record is from RNAcentral.